Molecule: long non-coding RNA, 4412 nt
Organism: Pan troglodytes (chimpanzee)
Lineage: Eukaryota; Metazoa; Chordata; Mammalia; Primates; Hominidae
Exons: 10
Source: RefSeq, a predicted model, not a curated record
GUUUUUUCAAACACCUUGCCCACCUUCUGCACACCAAGCGUGGAUUCUGCAAAAUGUGAGCCCAACAGGAAGCUGCCUGCAAUUUCAGGUAGCUUUUCUGACUCUUAAAGAGAUCUCAAGUAUACUUUCAGAGAAAUGCCAGCAAAAACUGUAGUCAUUUGGGAAGGAAUAAGCCUGGAAGAAAAAGAUACAACGAACUAGCACAACGAGGAGUUUGAAAAGUUCAUGACAGCUCACAGCUGAUGAUGGUGGCAAUCUUAAGGAUACAGAAAGCUCAUUCCUCAUGCAGGGAAGAAGAAAAUAUUCUAAAGAACAGAUAAGCAUAUUCCAUGAAAUCAAAAAAGCAUAAAACGCUGGAGGAGAAGUCAGUAGCAAGCAGCUAAAACAACAUGGUACAUUUGGCUAGAAGCCCACCAACUGCUAACAACCAGCUGGAGGCUUGAAGAACUCCCUGUAGCAUUUCUUAUAAGACAGGCCUGGUGGUGAUCAACUUCCUCAGCUGACACUUCGGCGUAGAUUUCUUCCACUCAAUAUGAGUCAAUAUUGGAUCCAUGCCCCCACGCUAUUUUGACUUCCGGAACUCCUGACAUCAUGCAAGCCAAACCUACGGAAGAAGCAUGACAUACAGAAUAGAAGUCCACACGGAGUCAGAUUUUCCCCGCAAUUUGACUCAUGAAAUCCCAUGAGCAGCCAGACAGAGUUUACAUAGGGCAAAUAUCACCAUUACCUAGCAAGAACAAAAUAAGAGGAACAAGCAGUCCCCUUGUAUUUUGGUUACUUAAAAGGGUUGGAUCUCAAGACAAAGGAAAAUGGUUGGGUGCACGAGGGGCCAGAUGCUGGAACCAGUUCUGAAGAAGUGUUCCCGGGGCCAAGAGGAUCUGAGAGGUGGCCAGGUGUGAAGACUGAACAAGCUGAGUGUUAAGAACAGCAAAGUUGGCCAGGCAUGGUGGUGCAUACCUGUAGUCUCAGCUCCCUGGGAGGCUGAGGUGGGAGGAAUAUGAAGGCCCAGGAGUUCAAAUCCAGCCUGGGCACCACAAUGAGACCCUGUCUUUAAAAAAAAAAUCAGCAAGCUGGGAAAUAAACUUGGGGCACACUGGGCACUUCCUCAUGAAGAAACCAAAAUCUCCUGCCUUGGCAAGCUUCAGGAGCCAUAUAAGGACUGAGCCAGCCUCACCCAUUACACUGUGUAGGGCCACUCUUCAGCAACGACAUCAUGUGGCAGAAGAAAACAUGGCCAUAGAGGAUUCCUUCAUUGUGCAAUUACCUAUAAGAAGAAGAAAAGGAAGAAAAGAGGAAGAAGAACGAGGAGGAGGAGGAGGUCUAAAAAGGAAAUGCUUAAAUUCUUCCUGAAAGGAGUGGGAAGAAGAGGCAGCUUGGAGAAGCUUUGAGCAGGUCCUGAAUAGGCAAGUGAGGGGCUUGCCUUAACCCUACAGGAUUCUCAGUCUCCACGUCUACCUCCCACAACAUGUGCAAAUGCUUACAUUCAUGAGUCUCACUGUCACCCAGGUUUGAAUGCCAUGGCACGAUCUUGGCUCACUGCAACCUCCACCUCCCGGGUUCAAGCGAUUCUCCUGCCUCAGUCCCAAGUAGCUGAGAUUGCAGACGUGCGCCACCAAGCUCGAUUAAGUUUUGUAUUUUUAGUAGAGACAGGGUCUCACUAUGUUGGCCAGGCUGGUCUCAAACUCCUGACCUCAGGUGAUCGGCCCGCCUCGGCCUCCCAAAGUGCUGGGAUUACAGGCAUGAGCCAAUACGCCCGGCCUAUUUUUGAGAUUUUCUGCUGCUACUCCAGCUUAGCCUGACAGAGCUUUCACUUUUUGUUCCUACCCCUUCGUGUGCAUCUGAACAAUCCACAAGCCUCACGAACUCCUGUAGCUUCCCUCCCUUCGAGCUGUAUCCACCAUGACCUCUUGACCAGGGCUGAGGGAGAAGGACGAGGGUCGUGCCACUAUCCUAGCACCCUCUGUCAAGAGCCACAGUCAUCAGAACCAUGGAGUGACUGACUGGAGAGAAGCAGCAAGAGACGGCCAGACAAAACAUCUUAAUGGGAUACUUAGUCUCUUUGUUUCAUCCAAGAGGGAUCUACCAAAAGGGAUCACCUCCUACAAAUGCUAAAUGGGUUUAAGGUUUAUACAGCAGCUCAUGUGGGUUCAGGGAUGCACAGGCAUUUCCCAAUGUGUCAUCAUCCCUGGUUCUGAUAAAAUCCAGAGUGGGGCCUGUAAAUCAGAGGGCUUCACCCCUGAACCCACAGCAGCACCACCAAGACACAGUGUCCCCACUGUGCACAAGAUUACAGCUUCUCUCUUGCUGCCCUUUCAAUAUACCAGUCCUUACUCAAGCACACAAAAACUGUGCUUUUGCCCCUGGCAUUUGAGAAGUUUGUGAAUAGACACCAGCACUUGGAUAUUGAUUUUUCACACGAUGGUGACUUUUAAAUUCCUCUAUUGCUCCUGACUGAGUUUAGCAACCUCUUGACUAUUCUGGAAAACCAAAGAACUUCGGAAACAAUCAAACAAAUAUUAAAUUCAAUCACCCAGCAACACUGGGGAGGCAAAUGAAAUUUUACUCCUAAGAAUCUAAAGCCCCCAUAGUAAAUAUUUCUUUGCUGACUGGCAAAUGAAUGUUUCUCAGCCCUUCUCAUGUCUGGAGACACCAAGUAAUGGGACAGCUCUUAAGCUGUCCCCAUGGUUUGUGACCAAGACUGGGGGCUACUUUGGCCUUCGUGGAAGUCCAGCACACUUCAACUGAGCUGCCAGUGGUGCCGAAUCCUGGAAAAUGCUGAGAGCCCUAAAAGUGGAUCAAGGAAAGGCUGUCAGUGCAUCAUCUCCCCCAGUCCUUGGCAAAGCCAGGGAGCAGGUUCCUGAUCCCCCAGAUUCCAGCUCUUCCUAAUGUUUCUCAGGAAAGAAGACUGCCCUGCUGCUGAUGGCCCAGGAGCCUGCCCAGAAAGCUCUGGGUAAAAAGCAAGAUGAAAAGAGUCCUCCAGUCUCCCCUCACCAAUGCCCUGCAGCUCACCACACCUUUCCUGUCCUGUAUACUUGUCUAGGAAUGACAUCCCCAGAAGAGAUCAGACAUGGUACCACAGUGUGUUGAUGGGGAAAGGCAGAAAGGGAUCACUUUGGAAUAUGAAAUCAAUCAAGAGAGGGUAGUUCCUAGGGAACAGCCUGAUGACCCCAUGACUGAAACGAAGAACUAGGUGGUGGGAAAGCAAUGAAGAGAAAAGUUUCCAGAGACACAAUCCAUGAAGACCUUGGUGAAGUCCCACCUAUUAAUACAAAAGGUGCCAAGUCCCAGAAUUGUCAGCGUGCAGCAGGGGCACAAUGAAAGCCUUGUGGGAAUGAAUUGGCUGGUGGCCUAGGAUGUGCCAUCAGAAGCUAUUCCUGUUUUCCAUGCUGUAUGCCAAUAGCACUGAGCAGAGUCCCUUUAAUGCAAAACAAUGGUUAGGCCAUAUUACUCAUUUAACUGAAGGGCUAAGUAUGUAGAUGGGGUUUUUAGACAUUAUGAAAAGUUGACUGUGGUGGAAUUUGAACUGCAUUUAGCCUUUCAUUUGGCUUCUAUGAACUUUCCUAGUUCUACGGCACCCUGAAGCUGUGUUAUCAAGAUUCAGCAUCAUUUGAUCUUGGUUGCUUGUGGUCUUAGUGGCUUGGGUUUCCUGUCAAAGGCAUUCCUGGUAAAUUAUUCCAAGGGUUAGUUACUUUGUGCAUCUUAUUUGCUGUUAUCUUGUAGUUACCCCUUGCACUCCAUGAAAUUCUAGCAUGCUGUCAUGAAAAGGACACCCAGGAGAAAGAAACACAAUUUAUUUAAUUAAAAUCAAAAUGUGUUAAGUACUAAGUUCACACUGGGCAUAAUUAACAAUUUUCAAACACUUAAACAGACAAUCAUAUACAUAACAUCUAUUUAAGUCUCAGUAACAUUACAUUGCAUUCCAGAAAUCUGUCAUUCCCCCUCCACCCCCCACAUCCCCCUCCACACACAAAUAUUACAUGAGUUAAUUCAGGUUACAUACUUUAAAUUAAGUUGACACAAUGUACUUGUGAAUGACAAAACAUGUUCAGAAUGGAAACAUUAUUUGAAAACACAGAAAAUAUGCAAAUUAGUGACAACUUAUAUCCAAAACGUUAUUAUACUAAAUCCUUCUUGUCUAUUCUGAAUCACCUAACAUGCUGUCAGUAUUAUGUUAAAAAGUUUUUAAAAGAAAUAGACUGUUAUAAACAUAUUUCUAGCAGUUCUUAUUGUAUUUCAAAAUAACUGUAAAAUCAAUGUACUUGGCUUUGGUUUACUGACUGCUUUCCAAUAAUUUUUUAAUCCAGGAAAGAAGAAUAUCCAGUUCACUGAUGGCUUUGUAGAUUCCUUUGUUUCCAAUCUGCAGAUAAAGUACAGAUAUAAGAGAAUAAAGUUUUCAUAUUUUAAAAAACAAA